UACGGAGGGAGCAAGCGUUACUCGGAAUUACUGGGCGUAAAGGGCGCGUAGGCGGCAAAUCAAGUCAGCUGUGAAAUCUCCGAGCUUAACUCGGAACGGUCAGCUGAUACUGUUUUGCUAGAGUACAGAAGGGGCAAUCGGAAUUCUUGGUGUAGCGGUGAAAUGCGUAGAUAUCAAGAGGAACACCUGAGGUGAAGACGGGUUGCUGGGCUGAUACUGACGCUGAGGCGCGAAAGCUAGGGUAGCAAACGGG
This 253-nucleotide ribosomal RNA is filed under the name uncultured bacterium. RNAcentral describes it as "partial 16S ribosomal RNA". It matches the Rfam family "Bacterial small subunit ribosomal RNA", at positions 524 to 776 of the family's 1533-position model. The record is from RNAcentral.